Molecule: ribosomal RNA, 468 nt
Filed under: uncultured bacterium
Lineage: Bacteria
Description: partial 16S ribosomal RNA
Rfam family: Bacterial small subunit ribosomal RNA
Source: RNAcentral
GACGAACGCUGGCGGCGUGCUUAACACAUGCAAGUCGAACGGAAAGGCCCUGCUUUUGUGGGGUGCUCGAGUGGCGAACGGGUGAGCAACACGUGAGUAACCUGCCCUUGACUUUGGGAUAACUUCAGGAAACUGGGGCUAAUACCGGAUAGGAGCGCCUGCUGCAUGGUGGGGGUUGGAAAGUUUAGGCGGUUGGGGAUGGACUCGCGGCUUAUCAGCUGGUUGGGGGGGUAGUGGCUUACCAAGGCUUUGACGGGUAGCCGGCAUGAGAGGGUGAACGGCCACCUUGGGACUGAGAGACGGCGCAGACUCCUACGGGAGGCAGCAGUGGGGAGUAUUGCACAAUGGGCGGGAGCGUGAUGAGGAAGCGCUGCGUGCGGGAUGACGGCCUUCGGGUUGUAAACCGCUUUCGCCUGUGACGAAGCGUGAGUGACGGUAAUGGGUAAAGAAGCACCGGCUAACUACGUG